Molecule: small nuclear RNA, 21 nt
Filed under: Arabidopsis thaliana (thale cress)
Lineage: Eukaryota; Viridiplantae; Streptophyta; Magnoliopsida; Brassicales; Brassicaceae
Description: snRNA_11600
Source: RNAcentral
AUUAUCUGACAGAAGACUCUC